RNAcentral lists this non-coding RNA (216 nucleotides) under unclassified sequences. RNAcentral describes it as "RT-2 RNA". It matches the Rfam family "RT-2 RNA", at positions 40 to 222 of the family's 222-position model. Rfam says of the family: Coriobacteriales (Actinobacteria), Clostridiales (Firmicutes). Downstream gene The record is from Rfam by way of RNAcentral.
GGGAGUACGGAGUACCCUCGGUAAAACGAGGGCCUUGAUGCGGCUGGCCGGACGCUUCUUGCAUGGCCGGGGAUAGCGAUAGGAGGUGAACGAAAGACCUUCCGUUCGUUGGAAACGUUCACCGAGUACCCGGUUUCAUGGCCAUUGCCGCUAUGGAGUUUACAACGCGCUCCAACAAUAACGCUCUACGAGGUGUCUAUCCCAUUAUGACAAGCG